Long non-coding RNA from Pseudoliparis swirei, 3732 nucleotides. RefSeq lists it as uncharacterized. The record is from RefSeq and is a predicted model, not a curated record. The transcript has 2 exons. NCBI's taxonomy places the organism in Eukaryota, Metazoa, Chordata, Actinopteri, Perciformes, Liparidae.
UGCAGAUUCGGAUCUCCCUUUUUUAUAAUGUAAUUGUAUUGUACUUAUAUUAUUCUGUUCAUUGAUUUUUCUUAGUUCUAUAAAGGUUCAUAAACCUACAGUGAAAACGGUGUAUAGCCAUUUGCAUGUCACACGCAGCAUAGCAACCAGGUCAUGUUUCCCUUGGUAUUACAUGUAUUACAUAUUUUAUUAAAUAUUUUUUAUUGGAUGAAAAGUAUUUAACAUGAGAGCAUGCCCCUCUUAUUCAAAACCACCCUCUCGAUUUCUGUAAAAGAUAGACAGCGACAUGGGCAGGAUGUUUAGACAGCAACACGUAAACAUUUUCCCUGCAGGCCUUCUUUAAAUAAGAAAUCAAGCAAAAGCCCCGUUAGAUCAGCUAAUACUCAAUCUGAUGCGAUAUGCCGCCCUGGUCGCGGCGUCCUGUGGUAAUGUUGGACAUUUUUGCACAUGAAUAUUGUUUGUAUAAUGCAGUCAUAAUAUUUACGCAGGGACGCAGCAGGAGUGAGGUGGAAGCUCUGCCGAGCUGUGAGUGCAGAAACUCGGACGGGGACUUGAGAUCGACUCCUGCAGGCACUUUACUCGAAAGAUCCAGAAUGAAGGCUGGAGUGGGCAGGCGUGCGGCUUUGGCCACAGGAAGCCGCGAAUUCUUCGGAGAAUGGAAGAUGUCUUAUGGGGAGACAUACUGGCCUCCACCCACCCACUCUCCACCCCCAAAAUGACACCUGACCCCUUCACGUGUUUAUAUCAGACCAUGGAAGUGAGAAAUAGUGAUGAGUCACUCUGGCUGUGUGUUUACACUCCGGAGUCACGCAAGGAAGGAAAUCAGCCACGGUCUGCUAAAAGUGGGGAGGUGAGAGAGAAUAGCUGCAGUCCCCCAGCGCUGCAGUGAUUUACCUCUCCGCAGCAGAGAUGACUUGAAAUACAUUCUGUUCUCUGACUUCAGACCAACAGAAAACAGAAAACAGAAACUUUAGCAGCGCUGCCGAGGGAAAGGCAACCAGAGGGGGUUUGUGUUUGGGUUGUUGCAUAAACAGUGAAUGUAAAAUACAUUUUAGGAAAAAAAGAAAUAUCAGUCUUAAGACGGUGUCUAUAGCAUCCCGUUGCUUUCUAAUCAAACAUACGUCGCUCCAAACAUCCCAGAAAAACUGUGUUCAGCUUGACGAUGAAAUGUUUCCUGUGUAUUUCGACUUGAAAUGUUUUCAGCAAUGUUUUCUUCUCAGCUACAAAGAAAGCGUCGAAUUACUCAAUUUAUUAGAAGAAAUUCACCAAACCGAAAGGAUAUUCUUAUUCAGAUCUUCUUUAUUUUAUUUUUGGUAUAUCCUAUUGUUAUAUUAAAAUUCAAAGAAAAAAACUAUUUGAAUCAUUUUACUUUUAUACACAAUUUAAAAGGACUUCCUGCAAUAGAAAAGCAACUGAAGGCCACAACAACACCUCCCGUAGACAUUAUUAUGCAGUGCUUUGUUUCUUUUUCUUGAUAUUCAAAAGCUGCUAUGUCUGACAUUGUGUAUGUCACUAGGUAUAUCACAGGUUACACCACAUGAAAUAUGAUUAGUCUUUUAUUGUAAAUUGGGAUGGAACAAAGUAGAUUUGAUGAAAGCAAGCAGCAAUAGUCACCCCUAAUAAGUCAAGUGAGAUCUGUGUUUAAGUAAAAUAUUUCAUAAUUAAAAAAAGAAGUACAUUAAAGUUAGUAGAAAUGCUGAAAGUCAUUUUUAUGUCUUGAACUGUAAUAAAACAGGCACCUUAGAUUUUGAACUGACAUAUUAAAAGUAAUUUCCGCAUCAUCCAAAGUUUUAUCUUGACACUAGCUGCUGUGCCUGCAUGUUACUGUUCACUUUAUGGCCUCAAGAAUCUAGUGUCAUAAUGCAAAUGUACAAUUUGUAUUAUGAAAUACAUUUAUAUGAAUAUUAUAUGAUAUAUUCAUAUUCCCGUAUGUGAUCUUACGGUAUCAUUGUUGUGUGAAGCACACCUGACACGUACUGCUUUGUGCUCUGGAGGACUUUAUGUUCAAUGCAGCAUCAGGUGUGUUUACUGCGGCUGCAGCCAGUGAUUCAAACACAGUGCCAUCGCCGUCAUGCACACGGAGAGACUUUACAUUUUAAAUGGCACAACUGUUGUUUUCAAGAGACAGCUGUAGUUACUGCAGUUGUGCUCUGUAAAUAAAAGUGACACUUUAUGUCUUUCCGUCAUUACAUUGGUGCAAGUAACUUCGUCGCCGACUGUAGCGAGUAUCUUGUUACACACCCCCGUACACACCGCCACAAUGAGAGAGUCUGCAGCUCUUAUUUUGGCUGAUCUCUCCUGAAUUGUAAGUCCUGUCAGAGGCUUUGAUUGAUAGUUAUGUUUAUCACCAUAUUAUUAAGUAAUCAGGCUCACCACAGCCAGGCCUGAAGCUCCUUAAUUCAAGCUAAAGCACACGGCGUCAUGCUAAUUAAGGGUUUGGCGAAAUAGUAUAUUUUUGUGAAUAAAAAAAAAGAGAAGAGAAUAUAUAUAUACAUAUAUAUAUAUAUAUAUAUAUAUAUAUUGUAACAUUUAGUACGAGACUUUUUGAUGUUUACCAGAAAGAUGAUACAGGGACAGUGGAGUGUCAACAUCUAUCUAUACACUAUUUUACAUGACUGUUAAACCUGCAAAUUGACAAUAAGGUACACAAAGUACAGUCCAGUAUGUCCGUAUAUGACACGAGAAGGUCAAUCAGUCUAUGUUCUGUGUAUCAGCAGAGGUUCUCUCUCGCUUCGUUAAUAUAGCCUGUGGCAGCCUGCGUUUGUGUAUUUCUGAGGUAAACACAGUCAUGGCAAAGUGGACAUGCUGCUGAGUGUGUCCUGACUGGAGACAGAGAGCACUGUGGCACUGUACUGGCUGAGACACUGGCAGCUCGCUAGAGCCAGGGUUAAUGUGAUGAAUGGCCAUUUGGUAAUGGGCCAUGUAUUAAGGUGAACUAGCUCUUUUAAAAGCCGGAGCUGGAGCCGUUGCUAUGGGCAAUUUGAUUCAGAAAUCAAUCAGGUGGCAGAUGUUUCAUGUUGGAUCAGUCAACUCUGUCUUGCUGUCUCUUUCAACCAAAUGAAGGAAGAAUUGCUCGAAUUACUGCAUUUAGCAAUCAAAGGAAAGUUUAAAAUCACUCCGUCAAAAACAUCAGCGGGCUGAAAAAAAAACAUGGGCAAAAACAAUUUUAGGAACUGUAUACAAAAACCGAUGGAUCCUCAAACAAGGAGACAGACCGUGAUCAUAUUUAUUUCAUUAAUGCCGCACUGUAGGCACUCUUGUUCCUAGACUGUGUGUGUGUACCGCCUCAGAGUCAGGCAGCCAGGAUACUGUGCUUAUCAAUGAGGAGCUGCACGACUCAUUUGUAGAAAUGAUUGGACACAAGUUACAUUUCUAUUAAAAAAAAUACCUAUGUGUAUGUCCUGGAUAUUCAGAUUUAGGCAUUUAUCCUCAAAGUGAAAUAGAUAAUGUGCACCAUUUUACAUAUCCCUCACAACUAUUGUAUUAUUAAGCCUAUUAGUAGUAGAGUUGUUUAUGUAUAUAAAGGUGUUUUGUGCCAUAUUGCCUAUUACUAUCCUACUGUAUCCUUUUUUAUCAUUAUGUGAUGUUUUUUUAUCCGAACCCUAACCCUUAUACAUAAUGACUUUUACAUUGUUUUGUCAAUAUUUCCAGGGCGCCACAGUGUUUUGGACGUAACGGUAAUAAUUGGAUUUAGUUUUCCAAUUUCAUUUCAGGAAUAAAAUGUUGGAAUUG